Non-coding RNA from Desmophyllum pertusum, 75 nucleotides. The record is from the annotation of a GenBank genome assembly. Lineage: Eukaryota; Metazoa; Cnidaria; Anthozoa; Scleractinia; Caryophylliidae.
UCUCCUUUAGUCUCAGUGGUAGAUGCGUCCGACCGGUGGUGUGGAAGGUCAUAGGUUCAACUCCUGUAAGGGGAA